UACGUAGGGGGCAAGCGUUAUCCGGAUUUACUGGGUGUAAAGGGAGCGUAGGUGGUUCGGCAAGUCAGAUGUGAAAGCCCGGGGCUCAACCCCGGGACUGCAUUUGAAACUGCCUUACUAGAGUGCAGGAGAGGUAAGUGGAAUUCCUAGUGUAGCGGUGAAAUGCGUAGAUAUUAGGAGGAACACCAGUGGCGAAGGCGGCUUACUGGACUGUAACUGACACUGAGGCUCGAAAGCGUGGGGAGCAAACAGG
This 253-nucleotide ribosomal RNA is filed under the name Lachnospiraceae bacterium. RNAcentral describes it as "partial 16S ribosomal RNA". It matches the Rfam family "Bacterial small subunit ribosomal RNA", at positions 524 to 776 of the family's 1533-position model. The record is from RNAcentral. RNAcentral also lists the same sequence under 2 other names. Lineage: Bacteria; Bacillati; Bacillota; Clostridia; Lachnospirales; Lachnospiraceae.